AAAAUCCGGGAUUCUAAGGCCGAGAGCUGAUGACGAGUGUACUUUUAGUACACGAAGUGGUUGAUGCCAUGCUUCCAAGAAAAGCUUCUAAGCUUCAGGUAACCAGGAACCGUACCCCAAACCGACACAGGUGGUUGGGUAGAGAAUACCAAGGCGCUUGAGAGAACUCGGGUGAAGGAACUAGGCAAAAUGGCACCGUAACUUCGGGAGAAGGUGCGCCGGUGAGGGUGAAGCAUUUACUGCGUAAGCCCAUGCCGGUCGAAGAUACCAGGCCGCUGCGACUGUUUAUUAAAAACACAGCACUCUGCAAACACGAAAGUGGACGUAUAGGGUGUGACGCCUGCCCGGUGCCGGAAGGUUAAUUGAUGGGGUUAGCUAACGCGAAGCUCUUGAUCGAAGCCCCGGUAAACGGCGGCCGUAACUAUAACGGUCCUAAGGUAGCGAAAUUCCUUGUCGGGUAAGUUCCGACCUGCACGAAUGGCGUAACGAUGGCGGCGCUGUCUCCACCCGAGACUCAGUGAAAUUGAAAUCGCUGUGAAGAUGCAGUGUAUCCGCGGCUAGACGGAAAGACCCCGUGAACCUUUACUAUAGCUUUGCACUGGACUUUGAAUUUGCUUGUGUAGGAUAGGUGGGAGGCUUUGAAGCGUGGACGCCAGUUCGCGUGGAGCCAACCUUGAAAUACCACCCUGGCAACUUUGAGGUUCUAACUCAGGUCCGUUAUCCGGAUCGAGGACAGUGUAUGGUGGGUAGUUUGACUGGGGCGGUCUCCUCCUAAAGAGUAACGGAGGAGUACGAAGGUGCGCUCAGACCGGUCGGAAAUCGGUCGUAGAGUAUAAAGGCAAAAGCGCGCUUGACUGCGAGACAGACACGUCGAGCAGGUACGAAAGUAGGUCUUAGUGAUCCGGUGGUUCUGUAUGGAAGGGCCAUCGCUCAACGGAUAAAAGGUACUCCGGGGAUAACAGGCUGAUACCGCCCAAGAGUUCAUAUCGACGGCGGUGUUUGGCACCUCGAUGUCGGCUCAUCACAUCCUGGGGCUGAAGCCGGUCCCAAGGGUAUGGCUGUUCGCCAUUUAAAGUGGUACGCGAGCUGGGUUUAGAACGUCGUGAGACAGUUCGGUCCCUAUCUGCCGUGGACGUUUGAGAUUUGAGAGGGGCUGCUCCUAGUACGAGAGGACCGGAGUGGACGAACCUCUGGUGUUCCGGUUGUCACGCCAGUGGCAUUGCCGGGUAGCUAUGUUCGGAAUAGAUAACCGCUGAAAGCAUCUAAGCGGGAAACUAGCCUCAAGAUGAGAUCUCACUGGGACCUUGAGUCCCCUGAAGGGCCGUCGAAGACUACGACGUUGAUAGGUUGGGUGUGUAAGCGCUGUGAGGCGUUGAGCUAACCAAUACUAAUUGCCCGUGAGGCUUGACC
Molecule: ribosomal RNA, 1410 nt
Filed under: metagenome
Description: bacterial LSU rRNA
Rfam family: Bacterial large subunit ribosomal RNA
Source: RNAcentral